This 386-nucleotide ribosomal RNA is filed under the name Photobacterium sp. IS10An. Its description in RNAcentral is "bacterial SSU rRNA". It matches the Rfam family "Bacterial small subunit ribosomal RNA", at positions 68 to 452 of the family's 1533-position model. Lineage: Bacteria; Pseudomonadati; Pseudomonadota; Gammaproteobacteria; Vibrionales; Vibrionaceae. The record is from RNAcentral.
CAGAUUGAUAGCUUGCUAUCAAUGCUGACGAGCGGCGGACGAGGUGAGUAAUGCCUGGGAAUAUACCCUGAUGUGGGGGAUAACUAUUGGAAACGAUAGCUAAUACCGCAUAAUCUCUUCGGAGCAAAGAGGGGGACCUUCGGGCCUCUCGCGUCAGGAUUAGCCCAGGUGGGAUUAGCUAGUUGGUGGGGUAAUGGCUCACCAAGGCGACGAUCCCUAGCUGGUCUGAGAGGAUGAUCAGCCACACUGGAACUGAGACACGGUCCAGACUCCUACGGGAGGCAGCAGUGGGGAAUAUUGCACAAUGGGGGAAACCCUGAUGCAGCCAUGCCGCGUGUAUGAAGAAGGCCUUCGGGUUGUAAAGUACUUUCAGUUGUGAGGAAGGC